CUUAAACUGUGUACUUUGUCUUUAAGAGAUAUUGCAAACUGACAAGGUGUUAGAAAUGGAACAUAUUGUUUUUCAUAACUGUUUCUUUAAGCAAUAAGCUCAGUGCAUAAUAUGUUUGCGCCAUUUUGUCCCAGACGAGUUACAAUAACAAUAAUGCAUAAACAAGCUUCAAGGCUAUACUACGACUCUUGCAGUACACAAUAUACUGUCGUAACCCCAAGUUAAUGGAACUUCCCAAAUCCGGGAAUCUCCCACGACUGUGCACUUACGACUUAGUAUAAACAGAUAAGCUAUUCAGACUUUAAGAUGCCAUCUUGAACUUUUCCAUGACGUAUACACCCUCUAGUUAUGGCCUUGUAUGUUUGCCAAGUUAAGGGAGGUCCUAAAAUGAAUAAAGUAAAAGAAGUGUUACUUUUUCAUAUAUGAACUACGGUAAUCCUAAAAUGGACACACCUAAGGUAUAAAUAGGUGUACUUUUAAAUGUUAAGACAUAGAGGAGAGACUUGGAGACAGACGCUGCUCCAUCUUAAAAUGACAGAGAGGCUGACAUGAUGACAUGUUCAGAAGGGUAUGUUAACCUAUUAAUGAUAUUUGCAAGCAUUUAGUUUAACCUUAUAAACUCUGCUAUAAUGGAUUUUAUAUUUAUAUAAUAAAUAUCCAAAAAGAC
RNAcentral lists this long non-coding RNA (667 nucleotides) under Pelobates cultripes (western spadefoot toad). Lineage: Eukaryota; Metazoa; Chordata; Amphibia; Anura; Pelobatidae. The record is from RNAcentral.